GCCAUAGCUCAGUGGAAAAGCAUCUACCUUGCAAGCAGAAGAGCCCAGGUUCAGUUCCUGGUAUUUCCA
Podarcis lilfordi (Lilford's wall lizard) is the source of this 69-nucleotide non-coding RNA. The record is from the annotation of a GenBank genome assembly. NCBI's taxonomy places the organism in Eukaryota, Metazoa, Chordata, Lepidosauria, Squamata, Lacertidae.